GAUGAACGCUGGCGGCGUGCCUAAUACAUGCAAGUCGAGCGAACAGACGAGGAGCUUGCUCCUUUGACGUUAGCGGCGGACGGGUGAGUAACACGUGGGUAACCUACCUAUAAGACUGGGAUAACUUCGGGAAACCGGAGCUAAUACCGGAUAAUAUUUCGAACCGCAUGGUUCGAUAGUGAAAGAUGGCUUUGCUAUCACUUAUAGAUGGACCUGCGCCGUAUUAGCUAGUUGGUAAGGUAACGGCUUACCAAGGCAACGAUACGUAGCCGACCUGAGAGGGUGAUCGGCCACACUGGAACUGAGACACGGUCCAGACUCCUACGGGAGGCAGCAGUAGGGAAUCUUCCGCAAUGGGCGAAAGCCUGACGGAGCAACGCCGCGUGAGUGAUGAAGGUCUUCGGAUCGUAAAACUCUGUUAUUAGGGAAGAAUAAACGUGUAAGUAACUGUGCACGUCUUGACGGUACCUAGUCAGAAAGCCACGGCUAACUACGUG
This 497-nucleotide ribosomal RNA is filed under the name uncultured bacterium. RNAcentral's name for it is "partial 16S ribosomal RNA". It matches the Rfam family "Bacterial small subunit ribosomal RNA", at positions 28 to 507 of the family's 1533-position model. The record is from RNAcentral.